AUUGAUUUUAUGCUUGCAUAAAUGAUUUUUGGAUUCGGAGCGAGUGGCGAACUGGUGAGUAACACGUGGGUAACCUGCCCCGAAGCGGGGGAUAACAUUUGGAAACAAAUGCUAAUACCGCAUAAUUAGUCAGAACCGCAUGGUUCCGACUUGAAAGAUGGCUCUGCUAUCACUUCGGGAUGGACCCGCGCCGUAUUAGUUAGUUGGUGAGAUAAAAGCCCACCAAGACGAUGAUACGUAGCCGACCUGAGAGGGUAAUCGGCCACAUUGGGACUGAGACACGGCCCAGACUCCUACGGGAGGCAGCAGUAGGGAAUCUUCCACAAUGGACGAAAGUCUGAUGGAGCAACGCCGCGUGAGUGAUGAAGGGUUUCGGCUCGUAAAACUCUGUUGUUAAAGAAGAACAAGCAUGAGAGUAACUGUUCAUGCUUUGACGGUAUUUAACCAGAAAGCCACGGCUAACUACGUGCCAGCAGCCGCGGUAAUACGUAGGUGGCAAGCGCUGUCCGGAUUUAUUGGGCGUAAAGCGAGCGCAGGCGGUUUUGUAAGUCUGCUGUGAAAGCCCUCAGCUCAACUGAGGAAGUGCAGUGGAAACUACAAAACUUGAGUACAGAAGAGGAAAGUGGAACUCCAUGUGUAGCGGUGAAAUGCGUAGAUAUAUGGAAGAACACCAGUGGCGAAGGCGGCUUUCUGGUCUGUUACUGACGCUGAGGCUCGAAAGCAUGGGUAGCGAACAGGAUUAGAUACCCUGGUAGUCCAUGCCGUAAACGAUGAAUACUAGGUGUUGGAGGGUUUCCGCCCUUCAGUGCCGCAGCUAACGCAUUAAGUAUUCCGCCUGGGGAGUACGACCGCAAGGUUGAAACUCAAAGGAAUUGACGGGGGCCCGCACAAGUGGUGGAGCAUGUGGUUUAAUUCGAUGCUACGCGAAGAACCUUACCAGCUCUUGACAUCUUCUGCUAACCCAAGAGAUUGGGCGUUCCCUUCGGGGACAGAAUGACAGGUGGUGCAUGGUUGUCGUCAGCUCGUGUCGUGAGAUGUUGGGUUAAGUCCCGCAACGAGCGCAACCCUUAUUAUUAGUUGCCAGCAUUUAGUUGGGCACUCUAGUGAGACUGCCGGUGAUAAA
RNAcentral lists this ribosomal RNA (1123 nucleotides) under uncultured bacterium. RNAcentral's name for it is "bacterial SSU rRNA". It matches the Rfam family "Bacterial small subunit ribosomal RNA", at positions 47 to 1162 of the family's 1533-position model. The record is from RNAcentral.